RNAcentral lists this ribosomal RNA (292 nucleotides) under uncultured bacterium. RNAcentral describes it as "partial 16S ribosomal RNA". It matches the Rfam family "Bacterial small subunit ribosomal RNA", at positions 505 to 796 of the family's 1533-position model. The record is from RNAcentral.
GUGCCAGCAGCCGCGGUAAUACGAAGGUUGCAAGCGUUACUCGGAAUUACUAGGCGUAAAGGGCAGGUAGGUGGUUUGGUAAGUCUGUUGUGAAAGCUCCUGGCUUAACUGGGAGAGGUCAAUAGAUACUGCCGGACUUGAGUAUAGGAGAGGUUACUGGAAUUCCCGGUGUAGCGGUGAAAUGCGCAGAGAUCGGGAGGAACACCAAUGGCGAAAGCAGGUAACUGGACUAUUACUGACGCUAAGCUGCGAAAGCUAGGGGAGCAAACAGGAUUAGAAACCCCAGUAGUCC